AUGGAGGAGCCUCUCAUGGUAUUUGAGGUGCAUGAUGAUGGGCAAGUCAAGAUGACAGUAGUCGGCCUCGAUCUACGGAAAGCGCAUAGACCGGAGUACAUGGUCCCUCCGAAUGUGUUCUUUGGCACCUUCCUGACCCAAGACAUCGAGUACUUCAUUGAUGGCGGCGGUGUUUUUGUCAAGACAUCCGGGCGGGACCCUGGCCUGCACUAUUAUUUCGUUGGAGUGACUUGUGCCCCGGCGUGCAGUUUGAGGACAGUGAAAUGGCCACACGUGACGACAUGA
Molecule: ribosomal RNA, 285 nt
Filed under: Triticum aestivum (bread wheat)
Lineage: Eukaryota; Viridiplantae; Streptophyta; Magnoliopsida; Poales; Poaceae
Description: partial small subunit ribosomal RNA
Source: RNAcentral